CCAGCAUUGGCGGCGUGCUAAUACAUGCAAGUCGAGCGCAGGAAGCAAGCUGAUCCCCUUCGGGGGUGACGCUUGUGGAAUGAGCGGCGGACGGGUGAGUAACACGUGGGCAACCUGCCUGUAAGACUGGGAUAACCCCGGGAAACCGGGGCUAAUACCGGAUAAUACUUUCUUUUGCAUAAAGGAAAGUUGAAAGGCGGCUUCGGCUGUCACUUACAGAUGGGCCCGCGGCGCAUUAGCUAGUUGGUGAGGUAACGGCUCACCAAGGCGACGAUGCGUAGCCGACCUGAGAGGGUGAUCGGCCACACUGGGACUGAGACACGGCCCAGACUCCUACGGGAGGCAGCAGUAGGGAAUCUUCCGCAAUGGACGAAAGUCUGACGGAGCAACGCCGCGUGAGUGAUGAAGGUUUUCGGAUCGUAAAACUCUGUUGUUAGGGAAGAACAAGUUGGGUAGUAACUGACCUAACCUUGACGGUACCUAACCAGAAAGCCACGGCUAACUACGUGCCAGCAGCCGCGGUAAUACGUAGGUGGCAAGCGUUGUCCGGAAUUAUUGGGCGUAAAGCGCUCGCAGGCGGUCCUUUAAGUCUGAUGUGAAAUCUCGCGGCUCAACCGCGAACGGUCAUUGGAAACUGGAGGACUUGAGUACAGAAGAGGAGAGUGGAAUUCCACGUGUAGCGGUGAAAUGCGUAGAGAUGUGGAGGAACACCAGUGGCGAAGGCGACUCUCUGGUCUGUAACUGACGCUGAGGAGCGAAAGCGUGGGGAGCGAACAGGAUUAGAUACCCUGGUAGUCCACGCCGUAAACGAUGAGUGCUAGGUGUUAGGGGGUUUCCGCCCCUUAGUGCUGAAGUUAACGCAUUAAGCACUCCGCCUGGGGAGUACGGCCGCAAGGCUGAAACUCAAAAGAAUUGACGGGGGCCCGCACAAGCGGUGGAGCAUGUGGUUUAAUUCGAAGCAACGCGAAGAACCUUACCAGUCUUGACAUCCUCUGCUAUCCUAGAGAUAGGAAGUUCCCUUCCGGGACAGAGUGACAGGUGGUUGCAUGGUUGUCGUCAGCUCGUGUCGUGAGAAUGUUGGAUAAGUUCCCGCAAACGAGCGCAACCCUUUGAUCUAGUGCCAGCAUUAAGUUGGGCACUCUAAAGUGACUGCUGUGACAAACGAAGGAAGUGGGAUGACGUCAAAUCAUCAUGCCAUAUGACCUGCUACACGUGCCUCACAUGGAUGGUACAUGGCAAGCCAUAUCCCGCUAGAGGUCCACGCAAU
This 1267-nucleotide ribosomal RNA is filed under the name Virgibacillus sp. HL28. RNAcentral's name for it is "bacterial SSU rRNA". It matches the Rfam family "Bacterial small subunit ribosomal RNA", at positions 30 to 1272 of the family's 1533-position model. The record is from RNAcentral. Lineage: Bacteria; Bacillati; Bacillota; Bacilli; Caryophanales; Bacillaceae.